AAUCGAAUAUGCUCAGUUCAUGCAAUAUUUUAUCAGAAAUUUCAAGUUUUAUUGAUACAAGGAACAAUAAAGUUUUGUUUCAAUACCACUAUCAUGGUAUAACCUUUAAAAGGUUUGGAAACAAUUGUAUCCUCCACAGUUUAGACACUGACAAAUGAAGGAUUCCUUUUAAUAAUCCGAAAUUUAAGUUGGUUUGUUAGCUCCAUG
RNAcentral lists this unclassified non-coding RNA (207 nucleotides) under Hevea brasiliensis (rubber tree). Lineage: Eukaryota; Viridiplantae; Streptophyta; Magnoliopsida; Malpighiales; Euphorbiaceae. The record is from RNAcentral.